This 835-nucleotide ribosomal RNA is filed under the name uncultured Acidobacteriota bacterium. RNAcentral describes it as "bacterial SSU rRNA". It matches the Rfam family "Bacterial small subunit ribosomal RNA", at positions 58 to 898 of the family's 1533-position model. The record is from RNAcentral. Lineage: Bacteria; Pseudomonadati; Acidobacteriota.
CAAGUCGAGCGAGAAAAGGGGAGCAAUCCUCUGAGUAAAGCGGCGCACGGGUGAGUAACACGUGGGUAAUCUGCCCUGAAGUGGGGAAUAACACCGGGAAACCGGUGCUAAUACCGCAUAUGAUCACGGUGUCUGCGGACACAGGGAUGAAAGGAGCAAUUCGCUUCAGGAGGAGCCCGCGGCUGAUUAGCUAGUUGGUGAGGUAAUGGCUCACCAAGGCAACGAUCAGUAUCCGGUCUGAGAGGACGGUCGGACACACUGGAACUGAGACACGGUCCAGACUCCUACGGGAGGCAGCAGUGGGGAAUUUUUCGCAAUGGGGGCAACCCUGACGAAGCAACGCCGCGUGGAUGAUGAAGUAUCUCGGUACGUAAAAUCCUUUCGACAGGGAAGAAACCGCAAGGUUGACGGUACCUGUAGAAGAAGCCCCGGCUAACUCCGUGCCAGCAGCCGCGGUAAUACGGGGGGGGCUAGCGUUGUUCGGAAUUACUGGGCGUAAAGGGCGCGUAGGCGGUCUGCUAAGUUGGAUGUGAAAACUCUGGGCUUAACCCAGAGCCUGCAUUCAAUACUGACAGGCUAGAGUUCUGGAGGGGAUAGCGGAAUUCCUGGUGUAGCGGUGAAAUGCGUAGAUAUCAGGAGGAACACCGGUGGCGAAGGCGGCUAUCUGGACAGAAACUGACGCUGAGGCGCGAAAGCUAGGGGAGCAAACAGGAUUAGAUACCCUGGUAGUCCUAGCCCUAAACGAUGGAUACUUGGUGUGACUGGGAUUGAAUCCAGUCGUGCCGAAGCUAACGCAUUAAGUAUCCCGCCGGGGGAGUACGGUCGCAAGGCUGAA